GUCGAACGGAUGGCUACUGCUUUUGUGGUGGUUGUUAGUGGCGAACGGGUGAGUAACACGUGAGUAACCUGCCUUUUUCUUUGGGAUAAGCACCUGAAAGGGUGUCUAAUACUGAUUAUUCUGAUCUGGUCGCAUGGCUGGGUUUGGAAAGCUUUUGUGGAAUUGGAUGGGCUCGCGGCUUAUCAGCUUGUUGGUGGGGUGAUGGCUUACCAAGGCUUUGACGGGUAACCGGCCUGAGAGGGUGACCGGUCACAUUGGGACUGAGAUACGGCCCAGACUCCUACGGGAGGCAGCAGUGGGGAAUAUUGCACAAUGGGCGAAAGCCUGAUGCAGCGACGCCGCGUGAGGGAUGAAGGCCUUCGGGUUGUAAACCUUUUUCGCCCCUGAACAAGGCCGCCUUUGGGUUGGUUGAGGGUAGGGGGUAAAGAAGCUCCGGCUAACUACGUGCCAGCAGCCGCGGUAAUACGUAGGGAGCGAGCGUUGUCCGGAAUUAUUGGGCGUAAAGGGCUUGUAGGUGGCUUGUCGCGUCUGCCGUGAAAGGCUUCAGCUUAACUGGAGUAGUGCGGUGGGUACGGGCUGGCUUGAGUGUGGUAGGGGAGACUGGAAUUCCUGGUGUAGCGGUGGAA
Molecule: ribosomal RNA, 626 nt
Filed under: uncultured bacterium
Lineage: Bacteria
Description: bacterial SSU rRNA
Rfam family: Bacterial small subunit ribosomal RNA
Source: RNAcentral